GGAUGUGAGGGCGAUCUGGCUGCGACAUCUGUCACCCCAUUGAUCGCCAGGGUUGAUUCGGCUGAUCUGGCUGGCUAGGCGGGUGUCCCCUUCCUCCCUCACCGCUCCAUGUGCGUCCCUCCCGAAGCUGCACGCUCGGUAGAAGAGGAUGGCCUUCCCCGAAUAGAGACGGACCAAAG
This 179-nucleotide small nuclear RNA is filed under the name Erinaceus europaeus (western European hedgehog). Its description in RNAcentral is "7SK RNA". It matches the Rfam family "7SK RNA". Rfam says of the family: 7SK was discovered as an abundant small nuclear RNA in the mid-70s but a possible function has only recently been suggested. Two independent studies have found that 7SK RNA binds the CDK9/cyclin T complex (known as elongation factor P-TEFb). P-TEFb activates transcription by phosphorylating the C-terminal domain of RNA polymerase II. The record is from Rfam by way of RNAcentral. Lineage: Eukaryota; Metazoa; Chordata; Mammalia; Eulipotyphla; Erinaceidae.